Molecule: ribosomal RNA, 253 nt
Filed under: uncultured bacterium
Lineage: Bacteria
Description: partial 16S ribosomal RNA
Rfam family: Bacterial small subunit ribosomal RNA
Source: RNAcentral
GACGUAGGGCGCGAGCGUUGUCCGGAUUUAUUGGGCGUAAAGAGCUCGUAGGCGGCUUGUCGCGUCGACUGUGAAAACCCGCGGCUCAACUGCGGGCCUGCAGCCGAUACGGGCAGGCUAGAGUUCGGUAGGGGAGACUGGAAUUCCUGGUGUAGCGGUGAAAUGCGUAGAUAUCGAGAGGAACACCUGCGGCGAAGGCGGGUUGCUGGGCCGACACUGACGCUGAUGCGCGAAAGCCAGGGGAGCGAACGGG